Non-coding RNA from Halomonas sp. PBN3, 227 nucleotides. The record is from Rfam. Lineage: Bacteria; Pseudomonadati; Pseudomonadota; Gammaproteobacteria; Oceanospirillales; Halomonadaceae.
AAAGUCCUCCACGCGGAAAAGUCUAGCCAACAAUCGCGGCCCCGAGUGAUGCGCGGCUGCUCGUGAGGGUAAUCGUGAAGCGUUCACAGGGGAGGCCAUGGGCUGGGUAUUGAGCUGCGAAAUGGGUCAAACUUCAAGGUGCCGAUCUCGUUCUGCUGAAGAGAAGGCAGCACUGUCUCAUGCGUUACGUGGCGAGCGUGAGGCAGACCUUGCGCAGUCGGAGACCC